RNAcentral lists this ribosomal RNA (736 nucleotides) under uncultured Alphaproteobacteria bacterium. Its description in RNAcentral is "bacterial SSU rRNA". It matches the Rfam family "Bacterial small subunit ribosomal RNA", at positions 94 to 867 of the family's 1533-position model. The record is from RNAcentral. Lineage: Bacteria; Pseudomonadati; Pseudomonadota; Alphaproteobacteria.
AGUGGCAGACGGGUGAGUAACAUGUAGGUAUCUGCCCUUUGGCCUGGAAUAACACGAGGAAACUUGUGCUAAUACCGGAUAAGUCUUUACGGAGAAAGCUUUAUGCACCAUUGGAUGAGCCUGCACUUGAUUAGUUUGUUGGUGGGGUAAUGGCCUACCAAGACUGUGAUCAAUAGCUGAUUUGAGAGGAUGAUCAGCCACAUUGGGACUGAGACACGGCCCAAACUCCUACGGGAGGCAGCAGUGGGGAAUCUUGCACAAUGGAGGAAACUCUGAUGCAGCGAUGCCGCGUGAGUGAAGAAGGCCUUUGGGUUGUAAAGCUCUUUCGUCGGGGAAGAAAAUGACUGUACCCGAAUAAGAAGGUCCGGCUAACUUCGUGCCAGCAGCCGCGGUAAUACGAAGGGACCUAGCGUAGUUCGGAAUUACUGGGCUUAAAGAGUUCGUAGGUGGUUGAAAAAGUUAGUGGUGAAAUCCCAGAGCUUAACUCUGGAACUGCCAUUAAAACUUUUCAGCUAGAGUAUGAUAGAGGAAAGCAGAAUUUCUAGUGUAGAGGUGAAAUUCGUAGAUAUUAGAAAGAAUACCAAUUGCGAAGGCAGCUUUCUGGAUCAUUACUGACACUGAGGAACGAAAGCAUGGGUAGCGAAGAGGAUUAGAUACCCUCGUAGUCCAUGCCGUAAACGAUGAGUGUUAGACGUUGGAAAUUUAUUUUCAGUGUCGCAGCGAAAGCGAUAAACAC